RNAcentral lists this ribosomal RNA (433 nucleotides) under uncultured bacterium. Its description in RNAcentral is "partial 16S ribosomal RNA". It matches the Rfam family "Bacterial small subunit ribosomal RNA", at positions 29 to 507 of the family's 1533-position model. The record is from RNAcentral.
AACGAACGCUGGCGGCAUGCCUAACACAUGCAAGUCGAACGAGACCUUCGGGUCUAGUGGCGCACGGGUGCGUAACGCGUGGGAACCUGCCCUUAGGUUCGGAAUAACUCCCCGAAAGGGGUGCUAAUACCGGAUAAUGUCUUCGGACCAAAGAUUUGUCGACCUUGGAUGGGCCCGCGUUGGUUUAGCUAGUUGGUAGGGUAAAAGCCUACCAAGGCGACGAUCCAUAGCUGGUCAGAGAGGAAGAUCCGCCACACUGGGACUAAGACACGGCCCGGACUCUUACGGGAGGGGGGAGUGGGGAAUACUGGACAACCGGGGAGAGCAUGAAGCGGCAAUGCCGCGUGAGUGAUGAAGGCGGUAGGGUUGUAAAGCUCUUUUACCCGGGAUGAUACUGACGGUACCGGGAGAAUAAGCACCGGCUAACUCCGUG